UCAAGAGCCUGCCACCACGUCCUGAACACAUACACAUCAAGCCACCUCGAGCUUCUCGGUCGAUUCGGCCGAUUUCGGCCUUUCCGGUGAAUUUUCGUCCCGCGAUCAAUCCCAAAUAUUUUUAUACGCCCGUUCUGAUGGCCUGAGUAUUUUUAAUAAACCCUACUGGGACUCUGAUCUUGAGGAAAAAUAUUUACCGAGCUUUUGGCUUCUUCGAAAAAUUUCGUAAUACCAAAAUUUAGGGUUUUUCGCCCAAUUUCCGGUCUUCCUGUUGUGCUUCCAAAAGUGUCUUGCUUCAACAUCAUUUGAAUCAAUCUACUACAUUGUCUAACCAUUGUCCAGUGGCAUACUUGACUCAUGGUUCAGACAAGAACAAUAUGAUCAUCCGCGACUCGAUCAUCCAAAAGAUACUCGACCAUUCUUUUUUUUUUUUUUUUUUUUUUAAGGGUUUCUACAGUGGGUGUCCGCCAGCAGACACAGGAUGUCCAUGGCUGUCUGUGGCUGUCCGUCAGCACACACAUGACAUCUGUGGCUGUCCGUGUGUGUCCGUGUGUGUCCGUCAGCAGACACAGGACGUCUGUGGCUGUCCAUCAGUACACAUAUCAGCACGCUGGUCCUUGGACUCAGCACGCUGGCCCUUCCCGUGGACUGUUCGGGUGAUUUUGGCCCACGUGGGCUGUCUGUUCAGUACACACAGGACGUCCGUGGGUGUCCGUCAGCACACACAUGACGUUAUGUGGCUGUCCGUGUGUGUCCUUCAACACACAGAGGACGUCCGUGGUUGUCCAUCAGUACACAUAUCAGCACGUUGGUCCUUGGACUCAGCACGCUGACCCUUCGCUUGGACUGUUCGGGUGAUUUUGGCCUACAUGGGCUGUCUG
Molecule: long non-coding RNA, 881 nt
Filed under: Brassica rapa (field mustard)
Lineage: Eukaryota; Viridiplantae; Streptophyta; Magnoliopsida; Brassicales; Brassicaceae
Description: long non-coding RNA (BRAP_LNC008933)
Source: RNAcentral